UGGGGAAUAUUGCACAAUGGGCGCAAGCCUGAUGCAGCCAUGCCGCGUGUAUGAAGAAGGCCUUCGGGUUGUAAAGUACUUUCAGUCGGGAGGAAGGUGUCAAGGUUAAUAACCUUGGCAAUUGACGUUACCGACAGAAGAAGCACCGGCUAGCUCCGUGCCAGCAGCCGCGGUAAUACGGAGGGUGCAAGCGUUAAUCGGAAUUACUGGGCGUAAAGCGCACGCAGGCGGUUGAUUGAGUCAGAUGUGAAAUCCCCGGGCUUAACCCGGGAAUUGCAUCUGAUACUGGUCAGCUAGAGUCUUGUAGAGGGGGGUAGAAUUCCAUGUGUAGCGGUGAAAUGCGUAGAGAUGUGGAGGAAUACCGGUGGCGAAGGCGGCCCCCUGGACAAAGACUGACGCUCAGGUGCGAAAGCGUGGGGAGCAAACAGG
Molecule: ribosomal RNA, 429 nt
Filed under: Chloroflexota bacterium
Lineage: Bacteria; Bacillati; Chloroflexota
Description: Chloroflexi bacterium partial 16S ribosomal RNA
Rfam family: Bacterial small subunit ribosomal RNA
Source: RNAcentral